Molecule: ribosomal RNA, 1764 nt
Filed under: Neoechinorhynchus crassus
Lineage: Eukaryota; Metazoa; Acanthocephala; Eoacanthocephala; Neoechinorhynchida; Neoechinorhynchidae
Description: SSU rRNA
Rfam family: Eukaryotic small subunit ribosomal RNA
Source: RNAcentral
AGAUUAAGCCAUGCAUGCGUAAGUGCACAUUUUUUUGGGCCAAAACCGGGGAUGGCUCAUUAAAUAAGUCUUGGUUUAAUAGAUCAUACGGAGCAUAUGGAUAAUUGUGGAAAAUCUAGAGCUAAUACAUGCCACGAAUGCUUCGACUAACGAAGAAGGSCUUUUAUUAGAUCAAAGCCAACGGUCCCCUUUCGGAGAUCAAACGUUGUGCUGAUUCUGAGUAAAGWAAGCUGAUUGCAUUGMCGCAAGGGGCAGGCGACGUGUCUUUCAAGKGUCUGCCCUAUCMACUAUCGUUGGUAGUUGACAUGACUACCAUGGKCGUAACGGGUAACGGGGAAUCAGGGUUCGAUUCCGGAGAGAGAGCAUGAGAAACGGCUGUCACAUCCMAGGAAGGCMGCAGGCGCGCMAAUUACCCAAUCCCAGCUCGGGGAGGYAGUGACGAAAAAUAACGAUGCCGCAAUCUUCGGAUUCGGMAAUUGGAAUGAGAACAAUCKAAAUCCUUUAUCGAGGAUCAAUUCGAGGGCAAGUUCUGGUGCCAGCAGCCGCGGUAAUUCCAGCUCGAAUAGCGUAUGUKAWAUUUGCUGCGGWUAAWAAGCUCGUAGWUGGGUAUCRRGAGAUGAACUCUGCGCUGUCUAAUUUGUACAGCAUUGCGCGAGCUUCGCUCCUUUUGWCAUACCAUUCCUACGUMCGUCAGGACGUCUGGAGSGYAGACGGACUACUUUGAGAMAWWUAKCGUGCUCAAUGCAGGCGAUUGCUUGUAUACUGUUGCAUGGMAUAAUGAGAAAGGACCYCGGUUCWGAYUCGUWGGUUUCCGGSAGCUGAGKUAAUGAUUGMUAGGGACAAACGGGGGCAUUCGUAUUGUGGUGUUAGAGGUGAAAUUCUGUGAUCACCGCAAGACGAACUACUGCGAAAGCAUUUGCCAAGAGUGUUUUCAUUAAUCAAGAACGAAAGUUAGAGUUUCGAAGACGAUUAGAUACCGUCCUAGUUCUAACUAUAAACUAUGCCAACUGGGCAUCUGGCGAUUGCAUUAAUGCAUCGGCAGGCACCCUGCGGGAAACCAAAGUUAUUGGGUUCCGGGGGGAGUAUGGUUGCAAAAUCGAAACUUAAAGGAAUUGACGGAGGGGCACACCAGAAGUGGAGCCUGCGGCUCAAUUUGACUCAACGCACGAAAGCUUACUCGGUCCGAACACCGUGAGGAUUGACAGGUUGAAAGCUCUUUCUUGAUUCGGUGGGUGGUGGUGCAUGGCCGUUCGUAGUUGGUGGAGUGAUUUGUCUGGUUUAUUCCGAUAACGAACGAGACUCUAGCCUAUUAAUUAGUGAGGCGAGCGAACCGCUUUUGCGGCGAUGCCGUUCAUUUACUUCUUAGAGGGACAAGUGUCGUGAGACACUCGAAGUUGAGCAAUAACAGGUCUGUGAUGCCCUUAGAUGUUCGGGGCUGCACGCGCGCUACAAUGGAGGCUUCAAAAAGCGUUCCUGAUCCGCAAGGAGCAGGGAAUCAUAAAUUGCCUUCACGAUUGGGAUCGGAGAUUGUAAUUAUUCUUCGUGAAAGAGGAAUUCCUAGUAAACGCGAAUCAUUAUUUCGCGUUGACUAAGUCCCUGCCCUUUGUACACACCGCCCGUCGCUACUACCGAUCGAAUGGUUUAGUGUGGUCUUCGGAUAGGUUGCAUGGAGCCACAAUCUCCACUGCGAACUCUAGAAAUUGACCGAACUUAACCAUUUAGAGGAAGUAAAAGUCGUAACAAGGUUUCCGUAGGUGAACCUGC